CGUCCAUACAGGGAAUCAAACCCUGAUCUAAAACUUAGGAGGUUUUUGUUUUUUCAUUAAACUAUACGGAC
This 71-nucleotide transfer RNA is filed under the name Terrestrivirus sp. Its description in RNAcentral is "tRNA-Arg". The record is from RNAcentral. Lineage: Varidnaviria; Bamfordvirae; Nucleocytoviricota; Megaviricetes; Imitervirales; Mimiviridae.